RNAcentral lists this ribosomal RNA (222 nucleotides) under uncultured bacterium. RNAcentral describes it as "partial 16S ribosomal RNA". It matches the Rfam family "Bacterial small subunit ribosomal RNA", at positions 109 to 334 of the family's 1533-position model. The record is from RNAcentral.
AGUAAUGUCUGGGAAACUGCCUGAUGGAGGGGGAUAACUGCUGGAAACAGUAGCUAAUACCGCAUAACGUCGCAAGACCAAAGAGGGGGACCUUCGGGCCUCUUGCCAUCGGAUGUGCCCAGAUGGGAUUAGCUAGUAGGUGGGGUAACGGCUCACCUAGGCGACGAUCCCUAGCUGGUCUGAGAGGAUGGCCAGCCACACUGGAACUGAGACACGGUCCAG